Molecule: ribosomal RNA, 867 nt
Filed under: Fusarium juglandicola
Lineage: Eukaryota; Fungi; Ascomycota; Sordariomycetes; Hypocreales; Nectriaceae
Description: partial large subunit ribosomal RNA
Rfam family: Eukaryotic large subunit ribosomal RNA
Source: RNAcentral
UAAGCAUAUCAAUAAGCGGAGGAAAAGAAACCAACAGGGAUUGCCCUAGUAACGGCGAGUGAAGCGGCAACAGCUCAAAUUUGAAAUCUGGCUCUCGGGCCCGAGUUGUAAUUUGUAGAGGAUACUUUUGAUGCGGUGCCUUCCGAGUUCCCUGGAACGGGACGCCAUAGAGGGUGAGAGCCCCGUCUGGUUGGAUGCCAAAUCUCUGUAAAGUUCCUUCGACGAGUCGAGUAGUUUGGGAAUGCUGCUCUAAAUGGGAGGUAUAUGUCUUCUAAAGCUAAAUAUUGGCCAGAGACCGAUAGCGCACAAGUAGAGUGAUCGAAAGAUGAAAAGCACUUUGAAAAGAGAGUUAAAAAGUACGUGAAAUUGUUGAAAGGGAAGCGUUUAUGACCAGACUUGGACUUGGUUAAUCAUCUGGGGUUCUCCCCAGUGCACUUCUCCAGUUCAGGCCAGCAUCAGUUUUCGCCGGGGGAUAAAGGCAGCGGGAAUGUGGCUCUCUUCGGGGAGUGUUAUAGCCCGUUGUGUAAUACCCUGGUGGGGACUGAGGUUCGCGCUUCUGCAAGGAUGCUGGCGUAAUGGUCAUCAACGACCCGUCUUGAAACACGGACCAAGGAGUCGUCUUCGUAUGCGAGUGUUCGGGUGUCAAACCCCUACGCGUAAUGAAAGUGAACGCAGGUGAGAGCUUCGGCGCAUCAUCGACCGAUCCUGAUGUUCUCGGAUGGAUUUGAGUAAGAGCAUACGGGGCCGGACCCGAAAGAAGGUGAACUAUGCCUGUAUAGGGUGAAGCCAGAGGAAACUCUGGUGGAGGCUCGCAGCGGUUCUGACGUGCAAAUCGAUCGUCAAAUAUGGGCAUGGGGGCGAAAGACU